This 72-nucleotide transfer RNA is filed under the name Urocitellus parryii (Arctic ground squirrel). RNAcentral's name for it is "Spermophilus parryii (Arctic ground squirrel) tRNA". It matches the Rfam family "tRNA". Rfam says of the family: Transfer RNA (tRNA) molecules are approximately 80 nucleotides in length. Their secondary structure includes four short double-helical elements and three loops (D, anti-codon, and T loops). The record is from Rfam by way of RNAcentral. RNAcentral also lists the same sequence under 1 other name. Lineage: Eukaryota; Metazoa; Chordata; Mammalia; Rodentia; Sciuridae.
GGGGAUGUGGCUCAAUAGUAGAGCAUUUGCCUAGUGUGCAGAAGGUCCUGGGUUCAAUCUCCAGCACUGCAA